GACGAACGCUGGCGGCGUGCUUAACACAUGCAAGUCGAACGAUGAAGCUGGAGCUUGCUCCAGUGGAUUAGUGGCGAACGGGUGAGUAACACGUGAGCAAUCUGCCCUUGACUCUGGGAUAACUGCGGGAAACUGUAGCUAAUACCGGAUAUGACACCUUGGGGCAUCCCGAGGUGUGGAAAGAGUUUCGGUCAAGGAUGAGCGCGCGGCCUAUCAGCUUGUUGGUGAGGUAACGGCUCACCAAGGCGACGACGGGUAGCCGGCCUGAGAGGGUGACCGGCCACACUGGAACUGAGACACGGUCCAGACUCCUACGGGGGGCAGCAGUGGGGAAUAUUGCACAAUGGGCGAAAGCCUGAUGCAGCAACGCCGCGUGAGGGAUGACGGCCUUCGGGUUGUAAACCUCUUUUAGCAGGGAAGAAGCGAAAGUGACGGUACCUAAAGAAGAAGCACCGGCUAACUACGUGCCAGCAGCCGCCGUAA
RNAcentral lists this ribosomal RNA (483 nucleotides) under uncultured bacterium. Its description in RNAcentral is "partial 16S ribosomal RNA". It matches the Rfam family "Bacterial small subunit ribosomal RNA", at positions 28 to 523 of the family's 1533-position model. The record is from RNAcentral.